RNAcentral lists this ribosomal RNA (439 nucleotides) under uncultured bacterium. RNAcentral's name for it is "partial 16S ribosomal RNA". It matches the Rfam family "Bacterial small subunit ribosomal RNA", at positions 339 to 795 of the family's 1533-position model. The record is from RNAcentral.
CUACGGGGGGCUGCAGUGAGGAAUAUUGCACAAUGGGGGGAACCCUGAUGCAGCAACGCCGCGUGGAGGAUGACGCAUUUCGGUGUGUAAACUCCUUUUAUAUGUCAAGAAAAUGACGGUAGCAUAUGAAUAAGCACCGGCUAACUCUGUGCCAGCAGCCUCGGUAAUACGGAGGGUGCAAGCGUUACUCGGAAUCACUGGGCGUAAAGGACGCGUAGGCGGGUUGGAAAGUCAGGUGUGAAAUCCUACAGCUUAACUGUAGAACUGCACUUGAAACUUCUAAUCUAGAGUAUGGGAGGGGGAGAUGGAAUUAGUGGUGUAGGGGUAAUAUCCGUAGAUAUCACUAGGAAUACCUAAAGCGAAGGCGAUCUCCUGGAACAUUACUGACGCUAAGGCGUGAAAGCGUGGGGAGCAAACAGGAUUAGAUACCCCAGUAGUC